Molecule: ribosomal RNA, 482 nt
Filed under: uncultured bacterium
Lineage: Bacteria
Description: partial 16S ribosomal RNA
Rfam family: Bacterial small subunit ribosomal RNA
Source: RNAcentral
GAUUAACGCUGGCGGCGUGCCUUACGCAUGCAAGUCAAACGGUCCCGAUAGCUUCGGUUGUCGGGAUAGUGGCGGACGGGUGAGUAACACGUAGGCAACCUGCCCGAAAGUGGGGGAUAACUUCGCGAAAGCGGGGCUAAUACCGCAUGUGGUCGGUCCCAGCCUGCUGGGGCCGACUAAAGCCUUCGGGUGCUUUCGGAGGGGCCUGCGGCCGAUUAGCUAGUUGGUGGGGUAACGGCCUACCAAGGUGACGAUCGGUAGCUGGUCUGAGAGGACGAUCAGCCACACGGGGACUGAGACACGGCCUCGACUCCUACGGGAGGCAGCAGCGAGGAAUUUUGCGCAAUGGGCGAAAGCCCGACGCAGCAACGCCGCGUGGGCGAUGAAGGCCUUCGGGUUGUAAAGCCCUUUUGCGGGGGAAGAAGUUCUGGCGGUACCCCGCGAAAAAGCCACGGCUAACUACGUGCCAGCAGCCGCGGUAA